RNAcentral lists this transfer RNA (72 nucleotides) under Pangasianodon hypophthalmus (striped catfish). It matches the Rfam family "tRNA". From Rfam's summary of the family: Transfer RNA (tRNA) molecules are approximately 80 nucleotides in length. The record is from Rfam by way of RNAcentral. Lineage: Eukaryota; Metazoa; Chordata; Actinopteri; Siluriformes; Pangasiidae.
UCCCUUGAGGACUAGUGGUUAGGCCUUUGUGCUCUCACCACUGCAGCCCGGGUUCAAUUCCCGGCCAGGAAA